Molecule: ribosomal RNA, 433 nt
Filed under: uncultured bacterium
Lineage: Bacteria
Description: partial 16S ribosomal RNA
Rfam family: Bacterial small subunit ribosomal RNA
Source: RNAcentral
AACGAACGCUGGCGGCAUGCCUAACUCAUGCAAGUCGAACGAGACCUUCGGGUCUAGUGGCGCACGGGUGCGUAACGCGUGGGAACCUGCCCUUAGGUUCGGAAUAACUCCCCGAAAGGGGUGCUAAUACCGGAUAAUGUCUUCGGACCAAAGAUUUAUCGCCUUUGGAUGGGCCCGCGUUGGAUUAGCUAGUUGGUAGGGUAAAAGCCUACCAAGGCGACGAUCCAUAGCUGGUCUGAGAGGAUGAUCAGCCACACUGGGACUGAGACACGGCCCAGACUCCUACGGGAGGCAGCAGUGGGGAAUAUUGGACAAUGGGCGAAAGCCUGAUCCAGCAAUGCCGCGUGAGUGAUGAAGGCCUUAGGGUUGUAAAGCUCUUUUACCCGGGAUGAUAAUGACAGUACCGGGAGAAUAAGCUCCGGCUAACUCCGUG